UACGUAGGGUGCGAGCGUUGUCCGGAAUUAUUGGGCGUAAAGGGCUCGUAGGCGGUUUGUCGCGUCGGGAGUGAAAACACUGGGCUUAACUCAGUGCUUGCUUCCGAUACGGGCGGACUAGAGGUAUUCAGGGGAGAACGGAAUUCCUGGUGUAGCGGUGAAAUGCGCAGAUAUCAGGAGGAACACCGGUGGCGAAGGCGGUUCUCUGGGAAUGUCCUGACGCUGAGGAGCGAAAGUGUGGGGAGCGAACAGG
This 253-nucleotide ribosomal RNA is filed under the name uncultured bacterium. Its description in RNAcentral is "partial 16S ribosomal RNA". It matches the Rfam family "Bacterial small subunit ribosomal RNA", at positions 524 to 776 of the family's 1533-position model. The record is from RNAcentral.